This 606-nucleotide ribosomal RNA is filed under the name bacterium E-2-0-4B. Its description in RNAcentral is "bacterial SSU rRNA". It matches the Rfam family "Bacterial small subunit ribosomal RNA", at positions 485 to 1089 of the family's 1533-position model. The record is from RNAcentral.
AAUAAGCACCGGCUAACUCUGUGCCAGCAGCCGCGGUAAUACAGAGGGUGCCAGCGUUAAUCGGAUUUACUGGGCGUAAAGCGCGCGUAGGUGGCCAAUUAAGUCAGAAUGUGAAAUCCCCGAGCUUAACUUAGGGAAUUGCAUUCGAUACUGGUUGGCUAGAGUAUGGGAGAGGAUGGUAGAAUUCCAGGUGUAGCGGUGAAAUGCGUAGAGAUCUGGAGGAUUACCGAUGGCGAAGGCAGCCAUCUGGCCUAAUACUGACACUGAGGUGCGAAAGCAUGGGGAGCAAACAGGAUUAGAUACCCUGGUAGUCCAUGCCGUAAACGAUGUCUACUAGCCGUUGGGGCCUUUGAGGCUUUAGUGGCGCAGCUAACGCGAUAAGUAGACCGCCUGGGGAGUACGGUCGCAAGACUAAAACUCAAAUGAAUUGACGGGGGCCCGCACAAGCGGUGGAGCAUGUGGUUUAAUUCGAUGCAACGCGAAGANCCUUACCUGGUCUNGACAUAGUAAGAACUUUCCAGAGAUGGAUGGUGCCUUCGGAACUUACAUACAGGUGCUGCAUGNCUGUCGUCAGCUCGUGUCGUGAGAUGGUGGGGUUAAGUCCGC